UAGGGAAUAUUGCAAAAUGGGCGAAAGCCCGAUGCAGCAACGCCGCGUGGGCGAUGAAGGCCUUCGGGUCGUAAAGCCCUUUUUGAGGGGAUGAGGAAGGACAGUACCCUCAGAAUAAGCCUCGGCUAACUACGUGCCAGCAGCCGCGGUAAAACGUAGGAGGCGAGCGUUAUCCGGAUUUACUGGGCGUAAAGCGCGUGCAGGCGGAUUGGAGAGUUGGAUGUGAAAGCUCCCGGCUUAACUGGGAGGGGUCGUUCAAUACUUCCAGUCUUGAGUGCAGUAGAGGGAAGUGGAAUUCCGGGUGUAGUGGUGAAAUGCGUAGAUAUCCGGAGGAACACCAGUGGCGAAAGCGGCUUCCUGGACUGUAACUGACGCUCAGACGCGAAAGCUAGGG
This 394-nucleotide ribosomal RNA is filed under the name uncultured bacterium. RNAcentral's name for it is "bacterial SSU rRNA". It matches the Rfam family "Bacterial small subunit ribosomal RNA", at positions 355 to 765 of the family's 1533-position model. The record is from RNAcentral.